This is a long non-coding RNA of Ictalurus punctatus (channel catfish), 4871 nucleotides long. RefSeq lists it as uncharacterized. The transcript is spliced from 2 exons. NCBI's taxonomy places the organism in Eukaryota, Metazoa, Chordata, Actinopteri, Siluriformes, Ictaluridae. The record is from RefSeq and is a predicted model, not a curated record.
AAUACUAUAAACAUCACAGAGGUGGGUGAGCUGUUUGUGGACAGUUUUAGGGACACAAGACAAAACAUACUCACCAGAUAAGAUCAGACUGAUUAUGAAUAUACUUCUUUAACAGAGAACACAAGUGCAGAGAUGGUCUGCACUUAUAUAGCACUUUUAACCAAAGCGCUUUACACUGUGUCUCAUUCACCCAUUCACACACUCUCACACACCAACGGUAGCAGAGCUGCCAUGCAAGGCGCGUACUUGCCACCAGGAGCAACUUGGGGUUCAAGUACAAUUCGGCAUGUGGAGUCAUGUGGGCUGGGAGUCAAACCGCCAACCCUACGAUUAGUAGACAACCGGCUCUACCACCUGAGACACAGCUGCCCCAUGAUAACGUGAGGAAUGGUUCCUGUGGACAAAGGCUGUUAUGGUGAGUGAUUUUUUAUUUAUUUUUUUAAUUUAAAUGAUAGAUUGUAAACUCAUUCAAUGUAUAUUUAAAGGUCAGACAUAGCUUUCAGUGUUAAAACUAGUUUGGGCAGAGUUUGAAGCAUUUCUCAAGAGAUUCAAAAGAGGACAGCAAAAGAAGCACUGAAGGAAGACUGAAAAAUUGCAGCUUUGAACAUUGGAAUUUCUCAAGAUUUCUGAAGAAACGUGAGCCUGUCACAGCUACAUCACGAUGUACCAGAGUUUGAAGCAAGGCAGCAUCAACAGCAAUGCACAGAGCAGAAAACAGUUAUCAAAAGUGACAUGAAUGACAUCACAUGAAAAAUAAUCCAUGGUAAGUCUUAUAUCAUGUUUCACAGAGUGGAGAUUAAUACACAGUAAUUAUAAAGUAACUAUGGUGUUGCAGUUACAUUCAUAUUACUUAUGGUGUAAUACUGAUUUGUUACAAACCAAUUCUCUACGAGAGAUAAUGCAACAUUUAGUUCUGCUCCACGAAUUUGAUCUGAAUGAAUGGAAUGAAAUUGUGUUCCAAGAGUGUUGAUAUUUAGUAUAAAAGCACUGGUACAGUUCACUGCUUGGGUCAUUCUGCUGGUCUGUGUUUGCUAUGUAAGGUAUAACAACACAGUAAAGAUACAACAGCUUGCGGUUAGCAAUUGAUGAUUCAGUCUAGUAAAAAUCUGCAGUGCUGGAGGAUAUGCCUGCAAAUAAUAAUGCAUUAUGUUAGUCCUGAUUUGUGAAUUAUGACGACAUAGUCUUUGACUACAAAGACCACACAUAUUAUUCUCAUGGUCUUUCUUUUCUAAAGCAUAUCAUGUCAAAAGCUAUCCACUAAGAGGGAUAAAAUCAGCUUCACAUUGACUAGACCGAUUUGUGAAAAUUUUCACACUCCUGUUUUUGUCUGUCAGUCAUGUUUUUAGUCCAUCACUCAUUCAUUGGUGAGCCUGUGUGCUAUCAGGGAAGCAAUUUCCAAUAAAUAUAUUAUAUAAUUCAAAACAUUAUAAUUGAUAAUAAUUUGUGGGAUGAUUGUUUCAAUUUCAUUUCUCACACCUCCAGGGUCGGGGUUUCGAUUCCCACCGUGGCCCUGUGUGUGCGGAGUUUGCAUGUUCUCCCCAUGCUGCGGGGGUUAAAUCGGGGUACUCCGGUUUCCUCCCCCAGUCAAAAGACAUGCAUGGUAGUCUGAUUGGCGUGUCCAAAGUGUCCGUAGUGUAUGAAUGGGUGUGUGAGUGUGUAUGUGAUUGUGCCCUGUGAUGGAUUGGCACCCUGUCCAGGGUGUACCCCGCCUUGUGCCUGAUGCUCCCUGGGAUAGGCUCCAGGUUCCCCGUGACCCUGAAAAGGAUAAGCGGUAUAGAAGAUGGAUGGAUGGAUGGAUAACAAACAAAAAUGUGGUCAGAAGAAAGAACACUUGGAAUGUGUUAAAAUUUUUAGAAUAGAAAGAAUAAAAGAUAUAUAGACAUUAAAAAGCAUCACAGGUCUAACGAAAAUGCACACUGUCAAGGACUGUUGGCAUUUUCUGCUUUCCUCUACCUCUCUCAGGGUCAGGUCUGUGCAUUUGGUACACGUCCAUAGUGUGCAUGCAUCACACUGCACCUGAGUGACAUCAAUUCAAUUUCAGAUUGAUUCUUGACAGCAGAAACCUGUCAUUCUAACAGUUCUAUUAUAUAACAGUAUAGAGAUACUGUGUGAGUAUACACACAGUCUACACUAUAAAUAUUCACAAAGUGGAUGCCAAAAGUGCCCUAAUAUCCCAUAAAAAUCCUUCAGACAACUGUCUGACAUAAUUAAUAUAGAUAUGUGAAUAACAUAACACAAGUGUUACAUAUCUUCUUACAUGUGAACAUUUUCAUUACAUUUAUUUAUGUUUUCUUAAUAUGUAAUGAAAUUGAAACUGUCAUGCCACAAAACAUUAUAAUUUAUUAUGUUUUGCAUGAUAAUAUAUAUUUAUUGGCCUCCCACAAAACAUUCUCAACUCAAAAUGAACCUAAGGUUAACCGAUAAAAAUGAAUUAAUGUUUUAGUGCUUGGUCCUCUCACUGAAAUACCAUAUUACUUCAUAUGGCUGUGAGUUACUGAUCAGAAGGUCAGGGGUUCAAGCCCUGGCGCUGCCAGGCUGCCACUGGUGGGCCCUUGAGCAAGGCCCUUAACCCUCUCUGCUCCAGGGGCGCUGUGUCAUGGCUGACCCUGCACUCUGACCCCAGCUUCCUGACAGGCUCGGGUAUGCGAAGAAAAUAAUUUCACUGUGCUGUAAUGUAUAUGUGAUUAAUAAAUACUCAUUAUAUCUUUGAUUCGUCCAUCCAAAAGACCUGGUCUUUGCCUAUAUGCUCAUUAGCAAACUGUAGCCUUACAAAGGCUGCUCCUGGCAUGCCUCUCAUGCAGGUCAAAUCUCUUUCUGGUUGUAGAAGCAUGCACUUUGACACCAACAGUUGCAAGACUUACUAGCACAUCCUGUGAUUACAUUUUGUGGUUCUUGGAGACUUCUUUUUGAAUCAGACGGUCUGCUUUUGGGCUGAAUUUGCUGGGACGGCCAGUCCUGGACAAAUUGGCAAUCAUUUGAAAUCUGUGUCAUUUGUAGAUGAUUUUCCUUACAGUGGAAUGAUGCAUUUCAAAUAAUUUGCAGAUCUUUUUAAAUCCCCUGCCAGACGUUGGCUAUAGGCAUCUACAACCUUUUUUUUCCUGAAGGCUUUAUAAAAAUCUUUGGAUCUUUAGAUUUGAGAGAGGUAUUAAAUAGAUAUAAUAAUGCAUUCCUUAAGCAGGUUCUAAUCACUUCUUGAGCACCUGAUUCAAAUUAAAUGGAUUUGAAGGUGUGAUAAAUUUAAGUUGUACUUAAUUUUUUUUAUGUGACUGAUCUGUUUUUUUUUUUUUUGUGUUCAUUUAAAUUCUGAAAAUUACUACAGAAUGUCAAUUUUAUGUGUCAUUUGUUAGAGUGUGUCACCCUUAUUAACAGGCACUGUUUAAAAGAAGAUCAAGUGUUUGCUUGUCCAAAUAUGUUAAAAAUUCCAACAGUUUCCAUGGAGUGUACUUACUCACCUCUACUCCAAGAAAACCCCAUCUGCCAAUUCUGAUGUCAAGUAUUGGAGCUAUUAUACAACCCAUACAAAUAUCUCAGUGUUGCCAACUCUCGUGAGACAAAUAGACAACUGCAGCUUCAAAAACAAGCCCAAUAUUAUUAUAGCCUUUUACAGCCUCAAUGUAAACAGAUUACAUUGAAUGAGCCUGCAACAACCACUCGCAGUUUGAAAAGCAAAAGCAGAAUGUAUGUACGACAAGCUAGGGAAAACAGGCACUAUCCACUCAUCACUGAACACCUGCGAGCAGAAUAUGAUUGGAGAGAUGGAAAAGGAGAUUACAUUAGAACCAUAACUGCUAUUAGUAUAUGAGUAUGUUAUGCUUUUUUUUUUUUUUUUUUUGUUUUGUUGUUGUUGUUGUUUGGAAAUCUGUGAUUUUUUCAAGCAACAAUAAGCCCAAAGUUGCUUAUUAUAUGCAGACAUGGCAACUCUGAUAAGUGUACCUCAAACCAUCAGAUUCAUCCAUGCAGAGCAAAACCCACUAGAAAUAAAACCUCUGCAAGUAACCCGCAAUUUUAGGCUUCAAACUGAGAUGGCGAUAGAGAGGCACAACCGUAUAAACACAAAUGUGGUACACAAGAGGUUAGAUACAACAAAUAGCUAAUAUCCAUUGCUACUUGAAGUUUGGGGGGGUAAUACUCAGUUUUUCCAUCUGAAUCAGUGAUUUUUUUCUCUGUUUUUCUUUGAGAAGCUUCCAGCAGAAAUCACCUACUGUUUUUCAGUGAACUCAGUUGGGAUCUGAUAAUGAUACUCCAGCGAGAAAUGUCUGUGACUGUGUAUAUGGGUAUCACCCUUUUGCUUAAAAAAACUUUUUGACUGCUGCUACUCAUCAUAUUUAGCCAUUUUAGCUGUCAAUGAUCUCUAAUCGCUAAUGAAAUAUUUUUGCUGUUGGUCAUAUCACUUUGUCUACAUGUUUCCCCGGGGGUUUACUACAACAAAAAGAGAAUAAAGUUAACCAAAAGGAAUCAAAGGAAAGACUGAAUCCCUGCAGGAUUAUUACAUACACCACUAUAAUGACACAUAUGGUGGCCGGUAUGUUUAUGUCACAUUAACAUACAGAAUCUCACAAAAGUGAGCACACCCCUCACAUUUUUGUAAAUAUUUGAUUAUAUCUUUUCAUGUGACAACACUGAAGAAAUGACACUUUGCUACAAUGUAAAGUAGUGAGUGAACAGCUUGUGUAACAGUGUAAAUUUGCUGUCCCCUCAAAAUAACUCAACACACAGCCAUUAAUGUCUAAACCGCUGGCAACAAAAGUGAGUACACCCCUAAGUGGAAAUGUCCAAAUUGGGCCCAAAGUGUCAAUAUUUUGUGUGGCCACCAUUAUUUUCCAGCACUGCCUUAACCCUCUUGGGCAUAGCGUUCACCAGAGCUUCACAGG